UAAACUAUGAUUCCGCAUCCUUUAGUCACCAAAUUAAAUAUGAACUGAUGAUCAUAAUGAUUAAGAUAAAAUGGGUAAAUCCUUUUUAGCCUCCUCUUUCUAUUAUUUACUAUUUUCUUCAUUCCUGAAAACACCAGAAUAUAAUCAUUUCUUGAUUUUACGUUUUUUUAGUGUAUAAUUUGCAUUCUUGGAGCCCAGAAACUGUCUUCUACAAACUUUUCUUCAUAGUACUAUGUAAACGUACACAGGAAAUGUUCAGAAAACAUCAGCCAAAUAGAAUUUGGGAAUUCCUUCACUGACUAGAUAUUGAUGUUUGAUUCUGUCCUGCUUUGUACUCAAUGGAUAUUUCGGGGUUUCCAUUUUGGAAAACUAUUUGGAAAAUUGCAAGCCAUGAGAAAAGCCUCUAAGCUACUCCAGGAGCACUGAGGACUCUUCAUGGGUUCUUAUUGUUAAAGAGUUUAACCCCUCAAGUCACUCCAUUUUUACUAUAUGCCUUGAACUACAAGAUGUGUUAAGAUUUAUAGGAUAAGGUUCUCAUCUCUAAAACCUCAUGGUCUCGGUGGAGAAGCAGUAUUUACACACAUGGAGCAAGUUGAGAGUGCUUGAAUAUGGAGUAUAAAGUGUGUGAUACUGACAAGAAUUUCUAUUGAAGAUCAGGAAGAGGAGGAGCAAAUGAGGAUGGAGACGGACUUUGCAGAAUGGAAGAGAGGCAAAGACAUGAUUAGAAACAAUCUACAUAAUGAGGAGUCACUUUUGGGAGUUAUUUUAAGGCAGAGUAUCACAUCGCAUCAAAACAGCUCCGUCUCCUGCCACUCCACGUGCAAUGCCAUGAACUUAAAUAAAUUGCUGGUAAGAGGACGCAAAUGCUGUGACCAGGCAACUGCUGCAAACCAAUGGGCUUUGGGGAACUGUGCUUCCCUUCAGAAAGGAAAGAGUAUUUGAGGAUGAAAAGGAAGGUAAGAAAGAGGGAUUUAGGUACAAGGAAAUUUACAUCAUCUUUAGAUGAAGGAGGGCUUGAAGGAAACAUCCCAGCAUGUAAAAGAAAAAUGAUAAAUUAAGACUAAUUUUUUAAAAAGUAUCUAUGUACAUUUUUUCACAGGCAUUGCUAAAUCCCGUGUUUUAAAAAUUAAUUUUUCCCUCAUAUUAGCAAUGUCACAAUAGUCACUAUCACUGGAAUGACACUGUAUCAUGCAAGGGGGUGGCAGAGGAAAGCACAGGCAGUGAUGGAUAUACAGAUCAACGUAAUGUGAUGUUGGCAUCCCUUCUCAACUGCAAAUACAAUUACCUUCAGGGUGACAGAACAGCCAAACUGCUUCAGUAAAUUACUAGGAUAUUGCCUUGCUGCUCUAAAUCCUGAGUCUGUUUUCUGGGUUUCUAUAUGUUUGUGGAGAAAUGAAUUUCCAGUUAAAUCUUUGUUAUUCUCUCCCUAGAGCCAAAAAUUGUGGGUGGGGCAAAGACUUAUAUUCAAAACAAAUUUUACUCCUCGAUGCUAUCGCUAUCUUUCUUCCAAGGUCUCUUUGUCAAAGUACCAUUAAUCUAUGCAGGCCACUGCAUUGAUCCUACAUUAUCGAUUCAUUAACCGCCAUUUAUGGAAUACCUCCAAUGCAUCAGUCACUGUGCUAGGCAUUAGGGAUAUAGAGACAAACAACACACUCCAUGCCCUCCAGGAGCCCAUGUUUAGUAGAGAAGAAGGACAACUGAACAAAUAGUCACUAUAUAAAAGUUCAAUGGUCAAGGGUUAUACAAGGUAUGAUCUGGUAUGUAUGAGUAUCUUCCAGACGGGGAAAAUUUCUUAUAUUUUCUGUUGCAAAACAAAUUUCCCCUGUUUUUUUAAAAAAAUAAGUUGGCACCAUUCAAAUCGUCAAUCCAAAAUUAACUGGUCUCUAAGUUAUUGAUGCCCUGCAGCUAGAAAGUCUUUAAUUUUAUUACUGAAAUCUACUGCAACAUAGCCAAGUCUAAUAUAAUACAACCCAAAGGGGAAAUAUCACAUUUAUCUAGAUAUGCAAUUGAAAAAAUUCUGUGUACUUAGAAACUAUGAUAUUUUCACUGCAUAACAAUUUGGGGAAAUCACAUCAGGCCACAUAUUUAGAAGGUAUCCCAUGGCAACCAUGAGAAGUUGCUUUGGUCUCACAUAGCUGAACAUAAAAAUGACUCCUUGCUUAUCAGAUGCCUGGAAGAAGAAGGGGCAGCAAAAGUUAUAUCUCCUUUGGAUUAUUAAAUUAAGCUCCUCUCUGGGCCUCCAUGAGCUCUUGUGAAGCAAGAAAAUGCAUGUCCUACUCUUGGUCCCAUGGAUGUAGUAGAUGUUCUUCAUGCUUGAUUUUUUUCUUUUUUAUGGCAUGUGUCUUGCUCAUACUUAGGGGCUUGUGGUUCAGUGGAGACCACACUGGACUGGACUGAACAGACAACUGAAGAGCUCUCUCUACCUUUCAGCAUCUCUGUCUGCCUUUCUGACUACCUAAAAAGUACUACAACCUCUGACUCUGUUUCUAAGGUGGAUUUUUCCUACUCAUGCUUCCUAGCGACUUGGUGAGGAUUUGUUGAAUCAUGGGACAUUUGAGCUUGCCAAGGUUAGAAGAAUCUUGGUCAUCCAGAAAGCUUGCUACAGCUGCCCAGCAUUUGCCUCCUCCACGAAGAAGGACCAAAAUAACAAGUAGACAAUCACAUGCCAAAUAAAAUGUCUAAGGGAGAGCACUGAAACUCAGCAAAAACGUUACGAAGACCCUCUGAGGUGCAGAAACUCAGGAAAGCAAAGCAGCCAGCCAGGAUCAGCUCAGAGCCAAGAGGGCCCCCGCUUGAGGAGGAAAGGUAAGCAGGAGAUGCCCCGCAGGCAACAUUCCCACCACAAAUGCCUGCAAGCCUAGCUGUAGGAGAGCAGUGUUGAGUCCAGUAUAGGAGCUGCCUGGAGUCUCUGCGACCACAUUGCUCCAGAGAGACCACUGGGGCCCUCCUUAGUCCCUGGGACCAAGCUGCUGCAGCACAGUGCCAUUUUGAGUACAGAGCCACUGCCAGAAUGCUUCCUGUCUUCGGGCCCAGGAACCCCUGCAUGUCCUCAUCACUGGAGCCCCAAUAUCAUUCCAUCACACCCACACACAAGGCUGCAGGGCCAUGACUGCAGUUGGACCCAGUGGUGCAGCUGUGAACCUAGCGCCUGAGCCCGCAUAGUGCAUAGAACUCCAGGAACAGGUGGUCCAGCAAAGUGGGAAGGCUGCCUCUAAGGUAAAGAAAGCAAAGGGGCAUGGUCCUCAGAGUCUGAGAGCUGACAGCCAGGGACCUGCUGCUGCCUGCAAACCCUGCCCACUCCAGCAGCAGAGCCACAACACACCUGCAUGUCACCGCAUACCCUAGGGGGCUGAGGGCUGGCUCUCCUGAGGCUCACUGUAGCUAGCCUCCCCACCUACUCCAGCAGCAGAGCCACUGCAUGCCCACCACCAAGGAUCCUGAGGACCAGGCCACCCGAGGCUCGUUGAUGAUGGCUAAUACACCAACUCCAGUGAUGAAGCUACCAUGUGCCCCUACCCAAAGGCCCAAGGACUGGCUUGUUUGGGGCCCAACAUCACCGCCAGCAACCUUGCCCCCUUCAGCAGCAAAGCCUUCAUGCACCACCCCAAAUGCCUGAGGAUCAGCUCUUCUGAGUGCCGCCACCACUGUGAGCUCAAAGAAGUAGAGAGAAGAAUACAGUUACUAGAGGCUGGGAAGGAUGAGGAAGACAGGACUGGGAGGAUGAAUAGGGAGAGGCUGGUUAACAAACACAAAAUUACAACUAGAUAAGAGGAAAGGUUCUAGUGUUCUAAAGCACUGUAGGAUGACUACAGUUAACACUAACUUAUUGUAUAUUUCCAGAUAGCUAGAAGAAACUAUUUUGGAUGUUCC
Macaca mulatta (Rhesus monkey) is the source of this 3870-nucleotide non-coding RNA. The record is from RefSeq and is a predicted model, not a curated record. NCBI's taxonomy places the organism in Eukaryota, Metazoa, Chordata, Mammalia, Primates, Cercopithecidae.